RNAcentral lists this RNase P RNA (426 nucleotides) under Tanticharoenia sakaeratensis NBRC 103193. RNAcentral describes it as "Bacterial RNase P class A". It matches the Rfam family "Bacterial RNase P class A". Rfam says of the family: Ribonuclease P (RNase P) is a ubiquitous endoribonuclease, found in archaea, bacteria and eukarya as well as chloroplasts and mitochondria. Its best characterised activity is the generation of mature 5'-ends of tRNAs by cleaving the 5'-leader elements of precursor-tRNAs. The record is from Rfam by way of RNAcentral. Lineage: Bacteria; Pseudomonadati; Pseudomonadota; Alphaproteobacteria; Acetobacterales; Acetobacteraceae.
CCAGACGGUUGGACGAUCGCGGCGGGUGCGGUUUUGCUGCAUCGGUCGAGGAAAGUCCGGGCUCCACGGGAGAACGGUGCCGGCUAACGGCCGGCGGGGGCGACCCUAGGGACAGUGCCACAGAAAACAAACCACCCGCCGGACUGGUCGCGCGAGCGACUUGGUUGCGGGCAAGGUCGAAACGGGGCGGUAAGAGCGCACCGCGCGCCUGGCGACAGGGGCGGCAUGGUAAACCCCACCGGGAGCAAGACCGAAUAGGAGCGGCAGGUCGGUAUCCCAUCGGGAUGCACGACCGGAGGUUCUCCCGCCUCGUCGCUCGGGUUGGUCGCGCGAGGCGCAUCGCAAGAUGCGUCCCAGAGGAAUGAUCGUCACACCGCCGCUUCGUGCGCUGGUGGACAGAACCCGGCUUACAGACCGUCUGGCACC